This 7395-nucleotide long non-coding RNA is filed under the name Lathyrus oleraceus (garden pea). Its description in RNAcentral is "Pisum sativum (pea) long non-coding RNA (PSAT_LNC021817)". The record is from RNAcentral. Lineage: Eukaryota; Viridiplantae; Streptophyta; Magnoliopsida; Fabales; Fabaceae.
UCUCUUGUUUAUUCUUCUUUUAAGUUCUACUCGUUUGCUUGAUGAAUUUGAUUUAUUGCUCAGAGGAAGAUUGUUAGGGAUUUGCGUAUUGAUAUGCUUUUUGGAUUGUAUAAUCAAGACAUUGUUUAUCUGUUUUGCCGCGAUUUGGGAUAUUUGAUGCAAUGGAUAAGAACGGAGAAUGGCUUUAGAGGAAUCAAAUUUCUUCAGUAAUUUUUAUUCCACGAAUUUUCCAGAUUGUUUGUUUCGUCAUGGCUUGAUGUUAGGGUUUGUUAUCGUGUUUUCUUAAUGGAUUUCGUUGCAGCGUGUUUUCUUAAUGGAUUUGCGCUGCGUCUUCCUCAGAUUGCUGAUUGUGUUUCCUUAAUGGAUUUCGAUUCUUAAUGGAUUUCGUUGCAGCGUGUUUUCUUAAUGGAUUUGCGCUGCGUCUUCCUCAGAUUGCUGAUUGUGUUUCCUUAAUGGAUUUCGUUGCGGCUUAAUAAGUUUUCUUAGAUUGCUGAUCGUGUUUACUUGAUAGAUUUACGUUGCGUCAGGUUGCUGAUAGUGUUUUCUUAAUGGAUUUGCAUUGCGUUCAGGUUGCUGAUCGCGCUUUCUUAAUGGAUUUGCGAUGCAUGCUUCAGAUUGUUGAAGCACACACAUGAAACUGACUUGGACACAAGUUUUCAUUUGAUAAGUAAGAGAUAUGUUUAACCAUUAUGCAGCAAAGCCAGGACUAGCUUCAUAUCUAAAACCUUAAGAACAGAGAACAGCUCCAGAUAGAACAGCUCCAGAUAGAUAAAUUUAACGUCUUCAACGAGUCUUUUUCUUUUCUUUUUUUCGCCUUUAUUGCCAGACAUGCAAAUUGAAUUUCGAACAUGUUUUGCUGCAGCAGCUUGCUUUGUCAAAACAAUAACCUUCUUCGAAGCAUGCAUCAGCCUAGCUUUUUGAUUUGGUGAUAUCUAUAAAAUUAUUUUUAUUUUCAAUUUUGAGAGCGUAUUUUUCUUGAAGUUGUCUUUUGAUCUUGUACAAGUUGUUGAGGUUUGUGUUUCUUCAGUGUUGAGGUUUUUGUGUUUCUGUUAUCAGGGACUUAGAUCUUUGGCUAAGUGCAAAUUAUGGAAUUAGAUACUAUCUUUGAAUCUUUGAUACAGCCCAAGCACUGUUGUGUCAUGUGUCAGAUACCGAUGCUUCCUACUUUGGCUGCACUUUAAUUUGGUCAUCACUACCAAGAAUUUUAAGCAUUAGUUUUGCAGGGAGAUGCAUUUAUCCGUUUUGCAGCAAGCUGAGAAAUAAGGUGGAUAUCCAGAAUGCCUUGAUACAACAACCAGAUUGCUGUUAGGGUUUGUUAUCGUGUUUUCUUAAUGGAUUUCGUUGCAGCGUGUUUUCUUAAUGAUUUGUGCUGCGUCUUCCUCAGAUUGCUGAUUGUGUUUCCUUAAUGGAUUUCGUUGCGGCUUAAUAAGUUUUCUUAGAUUGCUGGUCGUGUUUACUUAAUGGAAUUAGUUUUCUUAGAUUGCUGAUCGUAUUUUCUUAAUGGAUUUGCGCUGUGUCUUAUAUGUUUUCUUAGAUUGCUGAUCGUGUUUACUUGAUAGAUUUGCGUUGCGUCAGGUUGCUGAACUGUUUUCUUAAUGGAUUUGCAUUGCGGUUGCUGAACUGUUUUCUUAAUGGAUUUGCAUUGCGGUUGCUGAUCGCUGAUCGCGUUUUCUUAAUGGAUUUGCGAUGCAUGCUUCAGAUUGUUGAAGCACACAUAUGAAACUGACUUGACACAAGUUUUCAUUUGAUAAGUAAGAGAUAUGUUUAACCAUUAUGCAGCAAAGCCAGGAUUAGCUUCAUAUCUAAAACCUUAAGAACAGAGAACAGCUCCAGAUAGAUAAAUUUAACUUCUUCAACGAGUCUUUUUCUUUCUUUUUUUCGCCUUUAUUGCCAGACAUGCAAAUUGAAUUUCGAACAUGUUUUGCUGCAGCAGCAGCUUGGUUUGUCAAAACAAUAACCUUCUUCAGAGCAUGGAGCUUAGCAUUUCAAUUUUUGAUUUGGUGAUCUCCAUUAAAUUCUUUUUAUAUUGAUUAUAUUUUUUGGUUCUGAAACCAUAUCUUCUUUGAUUUGGUGUUUACUCUCUGGUGUUGAUUCAAGUUUUUAUAUUCCUACUCUCUCUUUUCCUUGGUUACAUUGGGUCUUAUGAUGAAGGGGUUUGAUCUGGUUCUUGCUGGUUUUGAACUUGGAGUUUGCUCUUCUUUUUUUAAUGGUCUUGUUUAGGUGUUAAUUUAUUGUUCUUUGAAUUCUAUUUUGAUAAUUUGUGUAGUUUUUCUAUAUAAUAAUGCUUCAUUUGAUAAACAUUCAAUGCUGUCAAAUUUAAACGAAUAUUGACAUGUGAUUAUCUGUAUUGCAGCGAGCUGAUUUCGAGGUAUCUGGAUCAGUUUGCAAUUCUUGAUUACAAUGGAUAAGAACGAUUAUGAUUGCAAUUCUUUAUUAUUUUUAUUUUCAGACUUUGAUCACAAAAUAUACAAUUUGAAAUCUAAACCUGUUUUUUUGCAGCUUUAUUUGUUAGUAUAAGUUUCAAUAGAUCAUGGAGCCUGCGUUUUGUUUUGGUGAUCUCUUUUAAAAUCUCUUAGUUUUCUAAAACUCUUUAUUCCUUUUGAAAUAAAUAUUAUUCUUGAUCUUUUAUUUUCUCUGGUGCGUUUCAGGAAAAGUAGUUUGUGAGCAUAUUAUUCUUCGGGUUUUGUAUUAUGGUUCCUUUAUGGUUUCUUGAUAUUGGGGUUUCAUUUUGUUCUGGAUUUUAUUGCCAUACAUGUGAAUUGAAAUAUGGCUCUAGUUUUUUUGGUACUGAGAAAUUGAUAUGAAAUAAUGGUGAUAUUUUGCAUUUAUCACCUUACAUGAAUUGCGAAUUGAAAUAUGUACUGUUUUCUGUUAUGUAGUGUGUUUUGCAUCAAUAGUGUUUUGUGUAGUAUCAAGCUAUGUGUAAUCAAGAAAUCAGUUUUUUUUUUAAUAUACUCUUCUUGGAUUGUGAAUUAUCCUCGGUUUAUUCUUUUAAAAGUAUAUCCUCUUCCUUGCAGUUGUCAAAGUACUCCAGUGUAUUGUGUCAUUUCAUAUGGGCACAAAGUCUUGCAAAUUGGAUGGAAGUUUGUCCCACUGAAUCAUAUCAUCUUUUGCAGGCUGUGUCUAAUACUUCAUAAUCUGUUUCUAGGCCUUAAUUUGGCCAUCUAUGCUCACUCUUCACAUUUCAGUCUUUUUUAUACUCAGCUUUUGUCAGUCCCUUGUGAUAUGAUAUGGAACGUGUGACAGGAAGAUGUUCGCAUACUGUGUUCAACCUGGGAAAAGAUCGAUUGUUGUAUUACUUGGAUAUGUGUGUAAGCUUUCGGAUUUGUGAUAGUUGUUUCCUUUGAAGGCAUGUCUUGCUAUAGUUGGAGUUGUUGUGUUUCUGCAUUAGGAACGUGAAUAGAUGAAGCAUACAAAAUUCUAAAGUACAUCUUAGGGAGGUUGAGGAAUUUUGGACAACAUGGUUUGGCAUUCUAUUGUUCGGGGGUAUUUGCCUGUUAUAAUUAUUUUCCCUAUUUUCCUUUUCAAUUGUAGUUAUAUCUGAGCAGAGAAAAAUAAGAUUCUUUUUCCCCAAAUGAGUGUCCCCCACAAAAUCUGUAUUGCAGCAGCACCAGAAUCUGCAAUUUGCUGCUGUGUUGUCUUCUUCAUGUUGUGAUCUCCUCUGAUGAUUCUUGCACGCUUCCAUAGUUGGCGUCAACAGGAUGUUUGACUUUCUCUUAGCUAAGGCAUGGUAAAUAAUGUUCUUAAUAGUGCAGAGUUCUCUUGUCACUUUGUUUUCCAGAUUUCUUUAUCUCAAUGUCUGAAGAGCAUAUAUUUGUUUGAUUUUGUUAUCUUCCUCUUUUGGUGUUACAGGAGAUGUAAUAUAUAUGAUCACAAUUCCUUCGGAUCAAUUCUUCCUCUUCUUGAUAUUCAGAGUUUUUAUAAUUCCUACUCUCUCUUUUUCCUUGGUUACAUUGGGGUCUUAUGAUGAAGGGGUUUGAUCUGGUUCUUGCUGGUUUUGAACUUGGAGUUUGCUUCUUUCUUUUUUUAAUGGGUCUUGUUUUAGGUGUUAAUUUAUUGUUCUUUGAAUUCAUUUUUGUAUUUGUGUAGUUUUUUUUCAUAUAAUAAUGCUUUCCAUUUGAGUAAACAUUCAAGUGCUGUCAAUUAAACGAAUAUUGACAUGUGAUUAUCUGUAUUGCAGCGAGCUGAUUUUCGAGGUAUUCUGAUCGUUGCAAUUCUUUGAUUACAAUGGAUAAGAACGAUUAUGAUUGCAUUCUUUAUUAUUUUUAUUUUUCAGACUUUGAUCACAAAAUAUACAAUUUGAAAUCUUAAACCUGUUUUUUCAGCUUUAUUUUUAGUCAUAAGUUUCAAUAGAUCAUUCGGAGCCUGCGUUUUGUUUUGGUGAUCUCUUUUAAAUCUCUUAGUUUUCUAAAACUCUUUUAUUCCUUUUGAAAUUAAAUAUUAUUCUUGAAUCUUUUAUUUUCUCUGGUUGCGUUUCUAGGAAAAGUCAGUUUGUGGCAUAUUAUUCUUCGGUUUUGUAUUAUGGUUCCUUAUGGUCUUGAUAUUGGCGGUUUCCAUUUUUUCUGGAUUUUAUAUGCCAUACAUGUGAAUUGAAAAUAUGGCUCUAGUUUUUUUGGUAUAUGAGAUUCUUUCAUAUUGGAUUUCUUCUCUGAUGAUUCGUUGUCUAUUGAUGUUUUCAUAAACGAUCAGUCUUCAGGGUUGUUAACAUCAUUACUACUUUUGUCUUACAAAUUGUUUGUUCUACAUUUGGGUUUUUGUAUUCAGAAAGUGCAAAGUUUACUAAUUUUUCUAGAACAUCGGACAAAUGGUAGGCAACUCUCUCUCUGUUAUCCGGAAUCUGCAACUUGGUUUGGAGAGUGGUAUGCUAUAUUCUUUCUUAUCAUCUUGGUUCCUUUUUUCUACACCUAUCUGGCGUUUAAUUUUCUCUACAUUUAUCGUAUUUGCUGACAGAGAAACUUUGCUGUACAACAGAAGUUUUCUUAAUUCUGAAUCACACUCACAUUUUUAUUUGGUCUAUAGUGGAGAAAUUGGAGAUGAGUGUCUCUGCUGCUUUGUAUAAAUUAUCUUUGGUGAACGAAUUCUUGACGACUUGAUUUGGCUCGCUUUUUUCUACAUUCUCCCAAGUGGAUAUUUAUCGAAGUGGGGAUGCCGAAAUUUUUUCCGUUUCAUAUGGACUGUAUAUUUGUUCCACAAUAGUCCUCCCUUGAUAUUGCAUGCACAACGUUGCUGAACAGAAUUGUGGAGCAUAUCUCUUCUCGCUGCGGCCUUCUCCGUUUUUAAUCAAAUUGUGGCCGUGUUUGAUUUGAUGAUCUACAUCUAAAGAGAGUUAUUCUUGCACUAUUUUACUGUUUGUUUCUUUUAUUUCUGUUAUAUUGGAAUAGGAAUUCGUUUCCUCUCUAAGGAUUUCAUUGGGCACCAGAAUUCAUUAAUGGAACCAUCAUGUUCUGCAGACUGUAAGAUAAUCUCUAAGGAAUUCGAGUCAUAAACGUUUCUGUAGAAAACUUGUUUCAUUUUGUAGAGUGAACAGCGUGGUUUGGGAAAGUAUCUCCAUCCGGUAAUUGUGCUUUGAUCAUAGUUGAGUCCAAAAUAGUUGCAAUUGAUGGCAUUGUUCCAAACAUAAAUAUUCUGUUGGUUGUGUCCUAUGUCUCACUAUUUCUAGAUGUUUAAUCAGGGAUCUAUGUCAAAAAAAAUCUUCUAUUUGUAUAUAGAUACUUUAUUCUUUAUUGUUAUAUUUAAUCUGAAGAUCAUUGUGAUUCAUAUAGAUUUUGGAAUUCAAUAUAGUAAUGUGGUGUUUGAUAGUGUUGUUGAGUUCAUUUUGGAUUUUGUUUUGGAUUAGUCAAAAGUUCAUUAAGACUUGCAGCAAUCUUUGUGUAAUCUAAUCUAGAUGUUCAGUCUGCUCAAUAUUGGUAAACGGACUAGAACACCGGCUCUCUUUCAUCUCAACUGUUGAUCUACAACUACUUGGUAGUCUACAGACAAACCAAAGAUGAGUAGUAUCUCAACUAUAUACGUGUGAUUCUGCGUCACAAUCAGGUAUUUUUUAAUUCAUUUUUUUAUUCAUAUUUUUAAAGUUUCACCUCAUUCAUAUACUAACUUGAGCGUCGGACUGCUAACCUUUUUUGCAGGUACCCCUCUGACCCCAAAACGAAAGUCUUACCGCGGUAGUUGUCUUCGUCUUCAGCCUUACAUCGUUUCAGUAUGGAAUAGUUAUAAUUGAAUGUUCUAAAUCUUCUUCAUAAUAGUCUUUUGCAUGCAUGCUGAAGUUCUGAUGUUUUUUUUUGUUUUGUCAAUGGAGUGCUAGAUAAUGUUUCUUAGAUUGCUGAUUGUGUUUACUUGAUAGAUUUGAGUUGCGACAGGUUGAUAGUGUUUUCUUAAUGGAUUUGCAUUGCGUUCAGGUUGCCGAUCGCGUUUUCUUAAUGGAUUUGCGAUGCAUGCUUCAGAUUGUUGAAGCACACACAUGAAACUGACUUGACACAAGUUUUCAUUUGAUAAGUAAGAGAUAUGUUUAACCAUUAUGCAGCAAAGCCAGGAUUAGCUUCAUAUCUAAAACCUUAAGAACAGAGAACAGCUCCAGAUAGAUAAAUCAAACUUCUUCAAAUUGAAUUUCGAACAUGUUUUGCUGCAGCAGCUUGGUUUGUCAAAACAAUAACCUUCUUCAAAGCAUGCAUCAGCCUGGCUUUUUGAUUUGGUGAUAUCUAUAAAAUAAUUUUUGUUUUCAAUUCUGAGAGCGUAUUUUUCUUGAAGUUGUCUUUUGAUCUUGUAUAAGUUGUUGAAGUUUGUGUUUCUUCCGUGUUGAGGUUUUUGUGUUUCUAUUAUCAGGGACUUAGAUCUUUGGCUAAGUGCAAAUUAUGGAAUUAGAUACCAUCUUUGAAUCUUUGAUAUAGCCCAAGCACGUCUCAGUGUCGUGUGUCAGAUACUGACGCUUCCUACUAUGGCUGCACUUUAAUUUGGUCAUCACUACCAAGACUUUUACGCUUUAGUCUUUGUUUGAUUUGAUACACAACAUCUACUUUUGUCGGAUUCUUUGAGUUGUGUGAGUUUUGCAGGGAGAUGCAUUUAUCCCGUUUCGCAGAAAGCAUGGUGGAUAUCCAGAAUGCCUUGAUACAACAACCAGAACAGGAAAUAACUCUAGAUAGCUAAAUCAAUUUUUUAUGGGUCAUUCUUUACUAUUUUUAUUUCCGACCUUUGAUUGCAAGGCAUACAAAUUAAUUUCUGAAGUGUUUUGCUUCAGCGUGGUUGUUUCCAACUAAUAACCUUCUUCAGGGCAUGGAGCUUAGCAUUUCAAUUUUUGAUUUGGUGAUCUCCAUUAAAUUCUUUUUAUAUUGAUUCUAUUUUUUGGUUCUGAAACCAUAUCUUCUUUGAUUUGGUGUUUACUCUCUGGUGUUGCAGGAUAUU